GGGGGCGAAUAGGGUUCGACGGGGAUAGUUGAGACCACAGUGGCAGGCCGAGCAACCCAUUGUCUCGUUAAUCCAAGGGAAAAAACUGAAAAGCAGACUCACACGAGUACGCUCUGGCUGCAUAGCCAGCGUCUCCGGCGGCACGUGGCCCGCGGAUCGUCGGAGGCGUAGCCAAAUGGGCUGGUCAUUAGGGGUUUCAAGCCGACCCUGGUGACAAGACAACUUGGUUUGAUAGUCUCAAAGAAGCCCGUUUAUCGGCGUCCGAGAGGCGAAAAGCUAAACGGUAAACUAAGCCUGUAGAAGCUUUGGGGUAAGAUCUUCGGACGCGGGUUCAAUUCCCGCCGCCUCCACCA
RNAcentral lists this transfer-messenger RNA (353 nucleotides) under Deltaproteobacteria bacterium. It matches the Rfam family "transfer-messenger RNA". Rfam says of the family: Bacterial tmRNA, also known as 10Sa RNA or SsrA, is named for its dual tRNA and mRNA-like properties. Lineage: Bacteria; Pseudomonadati; Myxococcota; Myxococcia. The record is from RNAcentral.